UACGAAGGGGGCUAGCGUUGUUCGGAAUUACUGGGCGUAAAGCGCGCGCAGGCGGCUAUCCAAGUCAGUGGUGAAAGCCCGGAGCUCAACUCCGGAACUGCCAUUGAAACUGUUUAGCUUGAGUAUGAGAGAGGUGAGUGGAAUUCCCAGUGUAGAGGUGAAAUUCGUAGAUAUUCGCAAGAACACCAGUGGCGAAGGCGGCUCACUGGUCCGGUACUGACGCUGAGGUGCGAAAGCGUGGGGAGCAAACAGG
RNAcentral lists this ribosomal RNA (253 nucleotides) under uncultured bacterium. RNAcentral's name for it is "partial 16S ribosomal RNA". It matches the Rfam family "Bacterial small subunit ribosomal RNA", at positions 524 to 776 of the family's 1533-position model. The record is from RNAcentral.